CUGCUCACUUCAGCAGCACAUGUACUAAAAUUGGAAUGGUACAGAGAAGAUUAGCAUGGCCCCUAUGCAAGGGUGACAUGAAAAUUUGUGAAGCAUUCCAUAUUUAA
Molecule: small nuclear RNA, 107 nt
Organism: Cavia porcellus (domestic guinea pig)
Lineage: Eukaryota; Metazoa; Chordata; Mammalia; Rodentia; Caviidae
Source: Ensembl